UCAACCAUCUGAAGAAACAGUCGAAUUAAUACAAAAGAAAAAAAUUAUUUUUAUUAUAUUAAAAAAAAAUUACUAUAUAAAUAUCAAAAUAUAAAAAAUAAAAAACGAAAAAAAGUGAAAAUACAACAAAUCAAUCAAGUUGCUAAUAAAAUAGCAGAAGAAAAAUUUCCUCAGCUCGAAAGUAAAAAUAAUUAUUAUCAAAAAAAAUAUAGACCAAAGUUAUAAAAUAAUUAAUAAUGGAUUUAAUCCGAAUUUAAUUUACUUUCAUAAAAAUAUUAAACAACAUCAAAAACAAAUAGCUAUCCAAAGGUUAUGUGGAAUGCAUUUAAAAAAUGAUGCAGAUAAAUGGCUGUUAGAAAAUUGUCUAAAAUUAUUAAAAAACCAUGAAACGCCAAUUCCUCUGGUAAUUUAUGAUGGACCAAGUAUUUACUUAUCAUCCACAUUUGGAUAUAUAUAUAUACCCUUGGAUUUUUGUUUAAACGCCUUUUUUACAUUUUUAGAGAACAAUCUUGAUCAAGCAAGGAAAAUUCGAGCAAAGGUUAUAACAAUGAACUUAAAGCUGAUUUUUUUUUUUUUUUUUAUACCUAUGUAAAUAUGUACCCGCUGCUAUAUAUGUAUAAGUUUAUUUGCAUGAUUAUUGCUCACAAAUACUGAAUCAAUAUAAAUGUGCUUAUGACAUAAAUUACAUUUAACUAACUAUAUAUAUACACUAUUUUUUAUUUAUAUAUUUUUUUUUAUAUACGCAUCCAUAUACAUAUCAUUUAGGUCUUAAAAUCCUUUGAUUAAAUAAUUUGGCCAAAAGUUAAAGACUAAAUCUUAUAUUUAAAACUCAGUUUAAGAAACCAAUAUAACACAUCAUUUUAGUUUGGGUGGUCCAAGAUAUAAAAAAAGUUAAUAUAUAUAUAUAUAUAUAUAUAACGUUAGCACUUUAUGGGUUAAUCUAAAGUGUUAGUUGUUAAUAGCAUUAUUAUAUAUAUGUACAUGGGAGUAUGUACAAUUUUGAGCAACACAUAAAUGCUGACACAUGUUUUUAAUUUAUAUUGUCUGUACAAUAAAUAUUUACUAGUUUUUUUUUUUUUUUUAUUU
RNAcentral lists this long non-coding RNA (1086 nucleotides) under Piliocolobus tephrosceles (Ugandan red Colobus). RNAcentral describes it as "lncRNA (ENSPTEG00000020449.1)". The record is from RNAcentral. Lineage: Eukaryota; Metazoa; Chordata; Mammalia; Primates; Cercopithecidae.